UACGUAGGGGGCAAGCGUUGUCCGGAUUUAUUGGGCGUAAAGAGCGUGUAGGCGGUCUGGUAGGUCCGUUGUGAAAACUCGAGGCUCAACCUCGAGACGCCGAUGGAAACCCUCAGACUAGAGUCCGGAAGAGGAGAGUGGAAUUCCUGGUGUAGCGGUGAAAUGCGCAGAUAUCAGGAGGAACACCAAUUGCGAAGGCAGCUCGCUGGGACGUUACUGACGCUGAGACGCGAAAGCGUGGGGAGCAAACAGG
RNAcentral lists this ribosomal RNA (253 nucleotides) under uncultured bacterium. Its description in RNAcentral is "partial 16S ribosomal RNA". It matches the Rfam family "Bacterial small subunit ribosomal RNA", at positions 524 to 776 of the family's 1533-position model. The record is from RNAcentral.